This 497-nucleotide ribosomal RNA is filed under the name uncultured bacterium. RNAcentral describes it as "partial 16S ribosomal RNA". It matches the Rfam family "Bacterial small subunit ribosomal RNA", at positions 28 to 507 of the family's 1533-position model. The record is from RNAcentral.
GAUGAACGCUGGCGGCGUGCCUAAUACAUGCAAGUCGAGCGAACGGACGGGAAGCUUGCUUCUCUGAUGUUAGCGGCGGACGGGUGAGUAACACGUGGAUAACCUACCUAUAAGACUGGGAUAACUUCGGGAAACCGGAGCUAAUACCGGAUAAUACUUUGAACCGCAUGGUUCAAAAGUGAAAGACGGUCUUGCUGUCACUUAUAGAUGGAUCCGCGCUGCAUUAGCUAGUUGGUAAGGUAACGGCUUACCAAGGCAACGAUGCAUAGCCGACCUGAGAGGGUGAUCGGCCACACUGGAACUGAGACACGGUCCAGACUCCUACGGGAGGCAGCAGUAGGGAAUCUUCCGCAAUGGGCGAAAGCCUGACGGAGCAACGCCGCGUGAGUGAUGAAGGUCUUCGGAUCGUAAAACUCUGUUAUUAGGGAAGAACAUAUGUGUAAGUAACUGUGCACAUCUUGACGGUACCUAAUCAGAAAGCCACGGCUAACUACGUG